Dama dama (fallow deer) is the source of this 1776-nucleotide long non-coding RNA. RefSeq lists it as uncharacterized. The transcript is spliced from 3 exons. Lineage: Eukaryota; Metazoa; Chordata; Mammalia; Artiodactyla; Cervidae. The record is from RefSeq and is a predicted model, not a curated record.
CUGAGGCACAUGACCCCUCCGUAGAAAAACAAAGUAUAGCAAUGUGAUUUUCCUCCAGCAAGUGUUAAGAAAUGGCUCGUUGUUCUUCUAUUUAUUUUGUUUUUCGUUUUGACACACUCAUCUUUUGACCUGCACCUGGUAUUCUGUGUAACCUCCAUGACAACAAUUGAGAAGCAAGAAAGGAUGAGAGAAAGGAAAGUUCACUCUAAGAGAGAAUAUACCUACUGUAUUUCCCCAGCAAGGUAUGGCCUCAUUCCAACUCAGUCAUGCAAUCGUGGCAGAGGGGAGAGAUCCCAUAAUAGGUGGAUUCUUUACCAUGGCGUCACUUGGGAAACCCCAUUUAACACCUUACCUACUUCACAUCCCCAACUGAAAGAUGAGGAGACAAACAGUUUUGGAAUUCUAUUCUUAACCAUUCACUGUGGAACAAAGGCUUUGAUGAUAAAAGAGACCAUAAUUCAAACCCUAGCUCUUUCAUUUAACACUCUGAGUCUCAGUUUUAAAAAUGGGAAUCUUAAUACCUAUUUUAUAGGUAUAUUGUUAUGAAAUAAAUGAUUAAAAGCAUAGUUGUUAUUAUUACUACUACUAUGUACCCAUCAACUGAAACAAACCUUAUUUUCCCAGAAGCUUUAUUAAAAGUAAGAGUUAACAUGUAUCGCUAAUACUUGGAUAUGUGUUUCCGGUUGGUGGGGUGGGUAGAUUAGGGAAGGUGGUGGAUGUCAACAGUCUCUGGCUCCUUAUCAUCAUUUCUGGAUGACUGCUUCUCCAUCUGCAUGCAAAAACCUCCACUCUGAGUUUUAUGCCACCUAACAAUAGAGCUAUAAUCAUAUUUAGUUCCUCUGCAUCUCUGUGCUGUCAUCAUUAGCCUCUUGCUGAUGUCAAAUGAGCCUAAGGCUUAGAUCUCAUCUCCCUAUCCAUCUAGGGGUUUGUCAUCAUCAUGUAAGACUUCAGCAUCUGUUUACAGGACCCAUCCAAUGCUUGAGUCUUGUGGUUUUGAAGUGUUUUCAAUAUUAUAAUUGCCACUUUCUGACUUCAGUUGCCCAUUAAUUUAAUCUUGUUCACCACAUCAUUCCUAUCAAAUGUCUUCCUCCACCUGAUGGUUAUUGCCAGAAUCUCAGUCCCUUUUUUGAGUCUAUAUACCUCUUAUGACUGAUUUCUUCCUUAUAUAGGGGUGAGUCCCCGUCCAUUAAAUCAAACACUGAUCAAUAAGACUCACUACUAAUUAUCUUUUAUUUGUCAAAUUCAAUUGAUACAGCUAAUCCACAGACAUUCCUUAGCUAGAAUAUGCUUCAUUUAUGACUGUAGGAGUAAAACAAAGUUUAGGAAGGAGUGGGCUGAUGGGAGAUUGCAACUUGAGAAAAUAACAGGAUCCUGAAAGUUCUCAGGGUCCAAACAACUUCGAAAUUUACACUUCCUGUUUCAAAGCUAAUUUUGUAUUGUGAAGAUUUUUUUGGUCAACAGAUCAGGCAUCAUAAUUGAUAGCAGAAAAUAAAAAUGUGAUGGCACUAACAUUUUUUUAUGUUCCAAAUCUGAUGUAUUUGUUUUAUUCUACUCUGUUGUAAAACCAAAAAUUCCCCCAUUGCACAGAAGCCAAUAUCCUAUAAGAUCAUGAAAAAGCGGUGUAGGACAUGCAAGACAUGAUGAGCUACAAGGGAUGUUGGGUAGUUACAAGUCAAUUUCUCUGUGUUUAGGUUGGUAAAUAACCAAAUUUUCUAAGACACAGGUAUUUUUCCAUUUAUCUUGCCCUCCACACUCCUUAAAGCUCCAUGUUUUAGA